Molecule: long non-coding RNA, 2890 nt
Filed under: Trifolium pratense (red clover)
Lineage: Eukaryota; Viridiplantae; Streptophyta; Magnoliopsida; Fabales; Fabaceae
Description: long non-coding RNA (TPRA_LNC011924)
Source: RNAcentral
CUAGAUCUUUUUCUUACUUUUAAUUCACCUCUUCCUUCUGUUUUUGUUUUCCUACUUUGUUUUCUAGUUAUUCAGAGUAGGGUUUAAUUAAAUUGCAGUUGCGGCUACAAUUACAUUGCGAACUUUUAUAUCACGGCAAAAUACAGUCGAAAUUGCAGUUGAAAUACCGUUGUAAGGACCUCAAAAUAUUUUAUAUUUGGACCACAAUUGUAGUUGAAGACUGCAUUUUAAAACCAUGAUAUAAGCUACCGAUGAAUUGUUAUCAUACAAAGUGAGAAACAACAUACACUCAAUUCGAGCUAGUUCAUGAACGAAACAAGUCAAACUAUACAUAACUCGAGUUCAGCUUAUUUAUUUUACGAGUUUAAAUUCAAAUCAUUUGGUUCAUGAACAGAGUUCAACGAGAUAAUUGUCAACCCUGUUGUAAACAUAUUCUAAAUUGUUAUGGGAAAGUUAAUUUCAUAUUUAACUUGUGGCUAAAGAAAGUGACAUUAAAUAACAUUUCAGGUUCUGAAUGUUUGGAAUGGAAGACAAGGUACAAGGUAGCACUUGGAGUAGCCAAAGGGUUGCAAUAUCUCCAUGAAGAGUGUCCAAGAAGAAUCAUUCACAGAGACAUCAAAGCCUCAAACAUAUUACUCAACCAAGAUGAUGAAGCUGAGGUACUUUUCUAUCAACCUGUUAUACACUAUGGUUAAAUUUUUGUGAACUUCAAUUCAUAUAUGUUUUUGGACACUAAACAAUUAAUUCUGUAAAAUUUAAACUGCAGAUUUCAGAUUUUGGAUUGGCAAAGUGGCUACCAGAUAAAUGGGCACAUCAUGUUGUUUUUCCAAUAGAAGGCACAUUUGGGUUGGCAUUAAUUGCAGCAUCAAAUGAAGUAGUUUUUAAUAUACAUUUUCAUGUUUGUGUAAUUUCAAUUUCUGAAACUUUUUGUUGAUGGAAUUGGUUCAGGUAUUUGGCUCCAGAGUAUUUCAUGCAUGGACUUGUGGAUGAGAAGACUGAUGUAUUUGCAUUUGGAGUAUUGUUACUUGAGCUCAUGACAGGUCGUCGUGCAGUCGAUUCAAAUAGCAGGCAAAGUCUUGUGAUUUGGGUAAGUCUCCGUAACCCUCAACAAACUAUACUCAAAUCCUGUGUGCAAUGCGGCUAGAGUGACAUUAGAAAUCUUAUGUCUACAUAAAUUUUUUAAUGUAUGUGUAACCGCAAUAUUAAUGUGAAUGAGAUCAUAUUAGUUCUAUUUUAUUUUGAGAUCAUAAGAUUUUUAAUGUACGUGUAACCGUAGUAUUAAUCUAGCAACUUUUCGACUCAACUUUGUGUCUCAAUUAGGUAGUUGUAGUUCAGUUAAUGAGCUAAGAGAUACAAAAUAUUUUUAGGAAAAAGCACGGGAAUCAAUUAAGCUCUAGAAAUUACGAUAACCACUAACUUACCGACAUUUUUUAUUUCAACAAAAAAAAUACUAAUAAUUUGUUGAAAACAAAAGAUUGAUCAUGUUUUGUUGUGGUCAGGCUAAACCACUAUUGGAUGCAAAAAAAGUGAAAGAAAUAGCAGAUCCAAGAUUAGAAGAACAAUAUGAUCCAACUGAAAUGAUGCUUGCCAUGGCAACAGCUUCCAUGUGUAUCCACCACAUGUCCUCUAAAAGGCCAUACAUGAGCCAGGUAACAAAAUAAACAUGUUUUUUUUUCCUCUCUUUCACUUUGGUAUUUGCUAUCAUACCCUCAUUUUGUUUUUUUUUAUUUUUUAUUUGUGAACAAUAUAGGUUGUGCUACUAUUGAAAGGAGAAGAGGUGGCUAUGGACCUGACUCAAAAAUCAAUAGCACCAAGGUCACUUUUGUUAGAUGCAUGUGAUUUAGAAGACUAUACUUGUUCUAGUUAUUUGAAUGAUCUCAAUCGCCACAAGGAAUUAAUCAUGGAGUGAUGAUUAUUCAUAUGAUAUUAGAAUUGUGAUCUGUUUGUAAUGUAUGUGUUGAAAAUUUUAUGGAAUGAUAUAAUUUGUUGUAUAGUUGUGGAAAAAGUUGAGAAUCUCACAACAUAAACUUUUGUCUUUAUAUAAUAUUUAGGCUUGUAAAUUGACAUGAACUUGUAAUGAUCAUCAUUAGUCAAGAAGCAAUCAUAGUUUGUUUAUUAGAGUUACAUAUUGUGUUAAUGCAUUUGUCAUAGUUUGUUUAAUAUUGUGUUAAUGUAGAGAUAUUGUAGGAAAAGUGUGUAUGUGUAUAAAUUUUGUUCAAGAAAGUUUGCAAAAUAAAAUACAAUAAUCUUCAAGAUAGAAAGAGAAUAUUAGCUCGGUUUCUACUGUUUUUUUCGGUCAAAUAGUCUAGUGAUUAAAAAUUUCACCUUAAAGUGGAUAAGUGAGAUAACCGGGUUCAAACCUCGACCCUGAAUAUAUAAUGCAUUGUCCCUAACAACUGAUUUAAGCUCAUAAAAAGUUUAUAUGUUUUCUUAUUAAAAAUAACACUUGUUUCAUUAAAUAUAAAGUCGUGUUUUAUUUUAUUUUUGACAGAACAAAGUGAUGGUUUUAUGUUAUGUUAUCUUGGACAUUUAUACAUAGCUUGUAACCAAAAAUAAAAAACAUUUAUACAUAGCCAUUUAAAUUGCAACCCAUAGCAACAAAAUAAAAUAAAAAAAAAGAUUAUGGCUUCAACAGAGGCAAUAAUUCAAUUAGGUAUCUUAAUCCUAACCUUAUCACUCUUCUUCCUCAUGCAUUAUCUCCGAAACCAAACAACCCAAUCCAAAACCCGAACCCGCAAUAAAACCGAACCAAACCGCCACAUAAACCAAGCAUCACGUCACCUGAACCGGGCCCGAUCCACAACAAACAAAGCCCAACACGCUAAAAACGCUCUCGUAGAAGCCGAUCAAGCCCUCUCUCUAACUCCAAGAGAUCCUACCGUUCNNNNNN